UCUCCGUUGGUGAACCAGCGGGGGGAUCAUUACAGGAUCGAAAGACUCCUAUAACCCCUGUGAACUUACUACAAAUACGUUGCUUCGGCGGGUGCCCCGGGUCUCCCGGGGCGUUCAGCCCGCCGGCAGCCUUCAAAUUCUGUUUCUUUGCGUUGGCAUCUCGAGUAUACAAAAAUAAGUUAAAACUUUCAACAACGGAUCUCUUGGUUCUG
Molecule: unclassified non-coding RNA, 212 nt
Filed under: plant metagenome
Description: partial contains small subunit ribosomal RNA, internal transcribed spacer 1, and 5.8S ribosomal RNA
Source: RNAcentral